RNAcentral lists this long non-coding RNA (374 nucleotides) under Homo sapiens (human). Its description in RNAcentral is "HSALNT0288251". Lineage: Eukaryota; Metazoa; Chordata; Mammalia; Primates; Hominidae. The record is from RNAcentral.
AUCACUUAGGUGAUCACUGCAGAGAUAUGUCACAAUACACCCUGUAAGCAGAGCCUAGAAAAGAGUUACAUCACCUGGGUGAUCAGUGCAGAGAUAUGUCAUAAACCCCACUGUAGGCAAAGCCUAGACAAAUUUUACAUCACCUAAGUGAUCAGUGCAGAGAUAUGUCCCAAUGUCCCUCUAGGCAGAGCUUAGACAAGAGUCACAUCUCCUGGGUGAUCAGUGCAAAGAUAUGUCACAAAGCCCCCUGUAGACAAAUCCCAGAAAAUUGUUACAUCACCUGGGUGAUCAGUGGAGAUAUCUGUCACAAUUCCCCUUUAGGCGCAGCUUAGACAAGCGUUACAUCACAUGAGUGAUCAGUGCAGAGAUAUGUC